This 538-nucleotide long non-coding RNA is filed under the name Manihot esculenta (cassava). RNAcentral describes it as "long non-coding RNA (MESC_LNC008013)". The record is from RNAcentral. Lineage: Eukaryota; Viridiplantae; Streptophyta; Magnoliopsida; Malpighiales; Euphorbiaceae.
AGGUUUAGGUGAGGUUUUUGGUGCUUUGUGGUGUUCCAGCAUGAUUAAGUGUUAUGUGCUAUGUUUGUUUGGGGUUUUAGGGUAGUUUUAGACCCCUUUGUGCAUAUAGAUGUGUAUAUGCUAGUUGGGAGUAGUUGCUAUGCAUGUUUGUAGGUUUUUGGGCAAAGUUUGCAUGAAACAGAGCAGGGUUCUGUCCUUCGGGCAAAACCAGGUUCGGCCGCCGAAGGAAGGUUCGGCCGCCGAACCCUUUGUGGAGGCAGUUCGGCUGCCAAAGGUUGCCCCCGAAAGCAAGGCUUUCGGUUUAGAAAGAGCCUUUCGGCCGCCGAAAGAGGGAGUUCGGCCGCCGAAAGUGUGUGAGUUUCGUCUCUGGACGAGACCUUCGGCCGCCGAAGGUGCCGCCGAACAUGCAUGAGUUUCGUCUCUGGAGUGGGGUUUCGGCCGCCGAACCUGCCGCCGAAAGUGCCCUGUCCAGCUUUCUUUUGCAUGUUUUAUGUGAUGGUUUUAGGAUUGUUUAGAGGGGUUUUGGGGCGUUUCUUAG